AAGUUUUGUGACAUCAAAUGCGCCGCAAGAUUACAAUGCUUAUGCUCAAUAUUCCAAUUCUACCGAUCCUUAUGGUUAUGCAAAUGCCGGUUACCAAGGUUACUAUAACAACUAUCAGCAGCAACCCAACCAUUCUUAUUCACAGCCUGUAGGAGCAUAUCAAAACACAGGUGCUCCUUAUCAGCCCCUUUCCUCAUAUCAAAAUACAGGGUUUUAUGCUGGGUCUACAAGUUAUUCAACCACUUACUACAAUCCUGGUGAUUAUCAGACAGCUGGAGGUUACCCAACUAGCAGCUAUAGCAAUCAGACUACCUCAUGGAAUGGUGGCAAUUAUGGAAAUUAUGUUCCUAAUCAAUAUGCUCAGUACACACCUGAUUCGAGUGGAGCUUAUAGUUCCACUUCUACAAAUGAAAGUUCUCUACAGUAUCAGCAGCAAUGCAAGCAGUGGGCCGACUACUAUAGUCAAACAGAAGUUAGCUGUGCCCCUGGGACUGAGAAACUGUCCACUCCGAGUAUUGCUAAUGCAGGGUAUCCCGCUCAUGGUUCAACCAAUUAUCCUGCACCACACAGCCAACCACCUCCACCGUCAUAUACUCCAUCAUGGAGACCAGAAUCUGGUUCAUCUGAACUGGUUUCUGCUCAGGUUUGAAUUUCGUUUCUACCAUGUACAUGAUUGGAAUUACUUCUUGUGGAAGGGCAUGUACAUUGUUUAAUACUGCUUAGUGUAUAUGUGUUAUAAUUGAUGCAAGGUUUAUUUGUUCUAUCUUGAUCAUAUAUUUCAUGCCUCUGCAGAGCCAUGAUAGGAUGGCCAAGUGGGUGAUUCUGUUAGUACUAGUUCUGUUAGUUUAACCACGAUGAUCUAUAUUAUCUUUCUGCUCUCUCUUUUUUUUCAAUCUUAUUUUUAUGGCUCUUUAGUUGUUUGGACCCUGAAGCAUGUUGUCCCCUGUAGACUCUUCGUAUUUAAAUUUUGACUUUGAUGGUUUGAUAAAAAGUUGGCGAAUGGUUUCUGUUAUAUUUCUAAUCGUUGUUUUUUUCUACUGGGAACUCGAAUUUCUGCUCUUAAUAGUUAUAUGAUUUGCAUUGAUGUUGAUUACUUUCUUGGUAUCCUUCGUUGCAAUUUAUUGUGGGCAAUGCUUAAACUAUGUGGUUAUUUAUAUUUAUCAAAUCUGCAAAGGUUAUUUGGUCAGUUGAACCAUUAUUCUUUUGCCCUUUUUUCCAGCCUGGUGCUGUAAGUAGUGGUAAUCAUGAUGGUUACUGGAAGCAUGGGGCUCCAAAUUCUCAAGUGCACCUUACUAAUGCUACUCAACCUCACUUUGAAAAGCCUCUAGAUUUAAAAAAUUCUUAUGAUAGCUUUCAGGAUCAACAGAAAAGUGCAGGUCCCCAGGGGCCCAAUUUACAAUAUCCAGCACAUUUGGCUCCACAAAGUUAUCAGUUACCCUCACAAUCUGUUUCACCUGUAGAAGCUAGAAGGACCAAGCUGCAGAUUCCAACAAACCCUAGGAUUGCUUCCAAUUUAAGCAUACUAAAAACCAGUAAGGAUAGCUCCACAGCUGAUGCUCCUGUACAACCUGCUUACGUCAGUGUUUCGUUGCCGAAGCCAAAU
RNAcentral lists this long non-coding RNA (1603 nucleotides) under Cucumis sativus (cucumber). Its description in RNAcentral is "long non-coding RNA (CSAT_LNC001805)". Lineage: Eukaryota; Viridiplantae; Streptophyta; Magnoliopsida; Cucurbitales; Cucurbitaceae. The record is from RNAcentral.